Molecule: ribosomal RNA, 472 nt
Filed under: uncultured bacterium
Lineage: Bacteria
Description: bacterial SSU rRNA
Rfam family: Bacterial small subunit ribosomal RNA
Source: RNAcentral
ACUCCUACGGGAGGCAGCAGUAGGGAAUAUUGGUCAAUGGGCGAAAGCCUGAACCAGCCAUGCCGCGUGUCAGAUGAAGGUCCUCUGGAUUGUAAAUGACUUUUCUACGGGAAGAAUGAGCCGUCUGCGGACGGAAGUUGACGGUACCGUAGGAAUAAGCACCGGCUAACUACGUGCCAGCAGCCGCGGUAAUACGUAGGGGUGCAAGCGUUGUCCGGAUUUACUGGGGUUUAAAGGGUACGUAGGCGGUUGUGCCAAGUCUGGGGUGAAAGUUUGCAGCUCAACUGUAAAAUUGCCUUGGAUACUGGUCGGCUAGAGUAGUGGAGCGGUGGCUGGAAUUUAUAGUGUAGCGGUGAAAUGCUUAGAUACUAUGAGGAACACCAAUUGCGAAGGCAGGUCACUGGUCACUAACUGACGCUGAGGUACGAAAGUGUGGGGAUCAAACAGGAUUAGAUACCCUGGUAGGAUAGCC